Non-coding RNA from Gossypium hirsutum (cotton), 145 nucleotides. NCBI's taxonomy places the organism in Eukaryota, Viridiplantae, Streptophyta, Magnoliopsida, Malvales, Malvaceae. The record is from Rfam.
UGUUAAAAAUUUCAUCCACAUGUACUGUUAAAAACUAGCAUAUCUGACAGAAUAACCAGAUAGUGACAUGUGGCAUGCCAUGUUUAACUCAUAUUGAUUUAAAGGGACUAAUUUUUAACAGUAGAAAUGGAUAAAAUUUUUAACA